Lycium barbarum (goji berry) is the source of this 3231-nucleotide long non-coding RNA. RefSeq lists it as uncharacterized. The transcript has 6 exons. Lineage: Eukaryota; Viridiplantae; Streptophyta; Magnoliopsida; Solanales; Solanaceae. The record is from RefSeq and is a predicted model, not a curated record.
CAGCUUACUCCUUUCCAUAGGCAAUUUGCGCAAGAGUUUAGGCUCCAAAUUCAGUUUAUUGUGACAUGAGAAACUCACAGAAAUCUCUAAUCCCUUAAACAUGCAAUUAAUCACUUAAGACGAGGCCAACGAAAAAAGAGCUACAUUUGGAUGACAUUUCUAACUAUUUAGAAGCACGAGUUUGGGCCAGUUUGGUCGUCCGUUUGGAACGACCAAGGGCAAAAGAGUCAUUUUACUCUAUCAAAAAAAAAAUCUUUCUUGUACGGUUCUAUUGCUCAUUCCAUCACUUUUCAUAAUUCUAGAAUCCAGAGGAGUUAAUUCAUAAUAGAGAGAUGACUCUCUUCUCUAGAUUUUCAAUUCAAAGGUUUGCUCUUUGAGUUCUCAUCUGGAUUUUGCAGUGUUUGUAUUUUUCUUCAGAUUACUCUUUCAAUUCGCUUCAUCUUCUCAGUUGAUUGUUCUAAUUUCAGACCAUGUUGGCUGACUGCUACACACACGAUGAUGAUGAUUGGGAUCACAAGUGGUGUUAACGCUAAUAACCAAUUAAGUUUUAGAGGAUGAUCAAGGGAUGCUUCUGAUAGAUUGAUACCCAUAAAGUGUUCGAUAAAUAUAUCAGGAAAAUAUUUCCUACUUCUUCAGAGGAUAGCACAAUACCAGCAACAUAUUGAAAUAGAAGCCAUUCUUUGUGUAUGCCCCCCGCUAAGACAAGCAGAGUAACAGGCCCUUUAGUUUAGAUUUCUAAGGUGGGGCUCUAUGCAUCUGAUAGAGGUGCUUUCUUAUUUAUGAAAUACUUUUCCAGACUCCAAACUAUAACAUAUUGAGGUUUUCUUUUAUUAUCAAAUUGUAAGAGCCUGCUAUUUCAUCAAGUUUGCCUCUCAAACUAGAGUUCAUGUAACUUAUGUCCUAAUGCCUUUUGAUUUAGAUAUCUGAAAUAUCUAAAACUACGAAUUAGCAUUCGAUGCUGAUAUAUAAAUUUUUUGUAAUACUUAAUGGAUUCCUUUCUUAAAAGUGGUUUCUUUUUUUUUUUUUUUUUGGGAGGAUUAACUCCAACAUGUAUAAUGAUGAGGACAACGAGUAAUAUAUAUCUUGAUAAUGAUGAGAUUUCUACUAUAUAGAAGAGUGAACAAUGGAACGACCAAGGCGAAAAACGUAAAUUAGCUCAGUGAAAAAAAAAACUUCGUCACAUUUACACCAACACAGACCCAAUAUAUAUGUCUAGAAACAUCCAUUCAUCUGUUUCUCUCCUUCAUAUUUCUCAAGUGCCACCCUCUCAAAGAAUGGUCUUUCAGUUUUCUUAAGUCUCAAUGAACUUUUUCGGUUGGUUACAACGUCAAGUAUGUUCAUCUUUCAAUUUUUGCCCAAUUCUUAUUCAUUUUUCCCCUUCAUCUUCUUUUCAAUCCUUGGCUUUUUCGGAUCUUUUCAGAUUCCUAAGAUUGUUAUCAUUCUGUCUUUCCAUAAGUUCGUCAUUUGAACAUAGAAGCAUGGAACACUGAAACAUUGAGUGGGAAAAAAAAAUACAAAAAUAGAUGACCAAAUAAAAAAGGGAAGGCUUCGUUAUGUAUAAAAUUUAGAAGCGUGACUGAGAGUAGAUACAACAACAACAACAACAAACCCAGUAUAAUCCCACUAUGUGGGGUCUGGGGAGGGUAGAGUGUACGCAGACCUAACCCCCACCUUGAAAGGUAGGGCGGCUGUUUCCGAAAGACCCUCGGCUCAAGAGAGGAGAAAAAGAGAGGAAAAGAAGAGAGGAACGUGACUGAGAGUAGAUAAAGAUGAAAAAACAGAUGAUAGCAGUGUUUCAAUCUGGGUUGACUCCUUAGCGCAGAACGAGAAUCUCUUCACCGGAUAAUCUGGUGAUACUUUAAUAUUGUAAUUUUACAUCCAACAUUAAUGGCUAUUUAGAUAUUUUGCCUAUUAACAGUGUUUCGAAAUAUCUAGACUACUCCCCUAUCAGUCCUCUCCCUCGCAGGGUAUGAUCUAUGUUCGCCAUAAACUCAUUUGCUGACAGUGGGCGUCAAAAAACCACUAGACCAGCAAUUUCAUGGCUUUUCUCUGGUGUAUUAGGAUCUUUCUAAGGAUAAAAAGCAACCAAACUGUCAAAUUCCAGUGAUAAAAGAGGGUUCGGGGAAUGUAUCGGACUUAAGAUGGAAAUUUGUAUGCUCCGGUAACUGUGACUCAAGCAAAUGAGCCCUGCUGCUUUAUGGCUUCUUAUCUUUUUGUUUCUUUUAUUUUUAUUUUAAUUUUUCGUCGGUGAUUUAAUCUUUUUUAAAAUGAAAUAUGGUAAAGACUUGAUCUUGAUACACUAAUGAGCAGAUGGAGUUUCUCGGACGGGGAAAAGCGGCACUCGACAUCUAUUAAACAAGACCAAGAACAAAGCCAUACCAUGCCCUCGCUGUGAAUAGACAAGUGGUUGUGCAUUCUGUUUGAGCAAGCAAAUGCAAUUAUGUGAUUUUCUUACUAUGCUAUUUAAAGAGUGUUCUUCGAGGGCUAUGGAGUACUUCAAGAUCUUUUUUCUAUGUUAAACAACCAUAAUUUGUCUUACAUCUCAGGACGUUGUGGAAAGGGACCAGGAUUCUUCGAUGCCUGAUGAAACUUCUGAUCGAAGACUACAGUUUAUAUAGCAAAUGACCUUGCAAAUAACCUUCCCAAGUGGUCUAAUCAGGAUAUGGUCCAAUGAGAUAGUUUAUAAAACUGCUGACAGAUAUUCUAGGCACCAUGUUGGUUAAUUACCCUUUAAAUAACUUGUGGCUCCAGCCCUUUACAUACUUCUUCACAUCGUAAGUUAUGUCUAUCGAGUAGACUACUCUUUCCUAUUCUUUUUAGUUGGUCAUAUGCCUGUAAUUGAUUAUGUUAAAAAGCCUUUGAUAGUUCUAUGCCUGUAAUUGACUAUGUUAAAUAGCUUUUGAUAGUUUUAUUACAUUAGCGUGGAUAGCUUCUCAGAUUCUGCACAGAAUAUGUCCAUAAAAAAUAAAAUGCUCUUCCUUUUAAAUGUAUCUCGGUUUUUGAAGACAUCAGUGUGGAUGGGAUAUAACUUAAGAGAUAUAUUUGGAAGGAAGAACAUUCUAUUCUUCCAGACAUAUUUACAACGGGAUUUCCUUUUCUAAUUCAUGCUCUUAACUGCUCUGAGUUCACUUUGAGCUCGCAUUUGCAUUGACUAAUGUACAUGGACUUGCUACCUAGAUAAAUUAAAAGGGGUGACGAAUUUUCUCUCAUCUAACUGAUUUAGCAACAUAA